Molecule: ribosomal RNA, 412 nt
Filed under: Etheria elliptica
Lineage: Eukaryota; Metazoa; Mollusca; Bivalvia; Unionida; Etheriidae
Description: partial 28S ribosomal RNA
Source: RNAcentral
AGGUAAACGGGUGGGACCACAAUGCGGUCGGCCCGGGGAAUUCAACCGGCCGGAAAUGUGUGCGGGCGGGAUGCCGCGGAGCCGUCGAGGCCCGCGCGACUCGUCUCCGAGCGCCGUCCGGGUCGGUGCACUUUCUCCGGGUCGACGGUCACGGCCGGCUCUCCGGCGGCCAGAAGCCAUGUUCGGGGGAAGGUGGACUCGAGCUCGCGCUCGAGUAGCAUAUAGCCCUCUGCAUGCGCAGGCCCGUCGGAGGGCCGAGGAAGGGAAUCGUUCGCCGCGCCCCAAUCGCUCUUCGGGCUACCCGCGUCCGGCACGACCGGGCUGGACUGGCUCGUCCAGUGCUCUCCCGACCGCGGGCACGGGAGGGUUCGAUGCAGCGAGGGGCGCCGACGGCCCGUGACGAAUCGGUUGG